AUGGCUUCUACUCUUAGACGGUUGUUUGCAACUAUGCUGGUAUUCUGUGAGGCAACAGAAAUCCGUCAGUUGUGGUACAAGCACCUAGCAUCGAUGUCAAAAGAUUACUGCCGUAGUCAAUUUAAUGAGGCAGCAUUUGAGCACAUGGUCCUUAGGGAUAUCAGGGAUCUGAUGCAAUCCAUGGGAAAGGAUUUUAAAAUGUACGGGCUUCCGAAUUUGGUUGACAUAGAUGGUUCUUCAGACGCCGAGUAUAGGGAGGUAACAGAGGAGAGGCAAGUCAAAGCCGAUCAAGAACAUCUAGAUCUAUUCAACUGCCUGAACAAUGAGCAACUGACUAGUUUCAAUGACAUAAUGGAUCAUGUGACGAACCAAAAAAGCCAGAUAUUCUUUGUUGAUGGUCCUGGAGGCACUGGGAAGACAUACUUGUACAAGCCAUUGCUUCCAAGGGCCCGUUCGAUGGGCCUAAUAGCGAUCGCAACUGCUACGUCACGUAUUGCAGCGUCGAUAAUGCCCGGAGGCCGGACUGCACACUCCAGGUUCAAAAUUCCAAUCAAGCUCACUAACAGCAGCAUGUGUAGUUUCACAAAGCAGAGUGGUACGGUAGAGUUGCUUAAACAGGAGACUCUUGACAGAUCGCUACAGGAUAUAAUGGAAUGUCCUCUACCGUUUUGUGGAAAGGCUGUCGUCUUUGGUGGGGAUUUUAGGCAGGUCCUCCCCGUUGUGACCCGAGGGACAAGAGCACAAUCGGACGCUUGGUUCUUCAAAUACCUCCUUAGGAUAGGCGAUGGAAUGAAGAAACAAUUGGCGACAACUAUGUGCGUCUCCCUGAAGACAUUGUGA
This 840-nucleotide ribosomal RNA is filed under the name Triticum aestivum (bread wheat). RNAcentral's name for it is "partial small subunit ribosomal RNA". Lineage: Eukaryota; Viridiplantae; Streptophyta; Magnoliopsida; Poales; Poaceae. The record is from RNAcentral.